AACGAACGCUGGCGGCGCGCCUAAUACAUGCAAGUCGAGCGAGAAGACGUAGCAAUACGUUUGUAAAGCGGCGAACGGGUGAGGAAUACAUGGGUAACCUACCCUCGAGUGGGGAAUAACUAGCCGAAAGGUUAGCUAAUACCGCGUACGCUCCUUGGACUUCGGUUCAGGGAGGAAAGCGAUACCGUGGGUAUCGCGCUCUUGGAUGGGCUCAUGUCCUAUCAGCUUGUUGGUGAGGUAACGGCUCACCAAGGCUUCGACGGGUAGCUGGUCUGAGAGGACGAUCAGCCACACUGGCACUGCGACACGGGCCAGACUCCUACGGGAGGCAGCAGUAAGGAAUAUUGCGCAAUGGGCGAAAGCCUGACGCAGCGACGCCGCGUGGGGGAGUGAAGGUCUUCGGAUUGUAAACCCCUUUCGGGAGGGAAGAUGGAACGAGCAAUCGUUCGGACGGUACC
This 458-nucleotide ribosomal RNA is filed under the name uncultured bacterium. RNAcentral describes it as "bacterial SSU rRNA". It matches the Rfam family "Bacterial small subunit ribosomal RNA", at positions 29 to 479 of the family's 1533-position model. The record is from RNAcentral.